This 27-nucleotide small RNA is filed under the name Bombyx mori (domestic silkworm). RNAcentral's name for it is "ovarian small RNA-34694". The record is from RNAcentral. Lineage: Eukaryota; Metazoa; Arthropoda; Insecta; Lepidoptera; Bombycidae.
UGGAUUGUGUAGCCUCAGGAUGGAGAU